This 497-nucleotide ribosomal RNA is filed under the name uncultured bacterium. RNAcentral's name for it is "partial 16S ribosomal RNA". It matches the Rfam family "Bacterial small subunit ribosomal RNA", at positions 28 to 507 of the family's 1533-position model. The record is from RNAcentral.
GAUGAACGCUGGCGGCGUGCCUAAUACAUGCAAGUCGAGCGAACGGACGAGAAGCUUGCUUUUCUGAUGUUAGCGGCGGACGGGUGAGUAACACGUGGAUAACCUACCUAUAAGACUGGGAUAACUUCGGGAAACCGGAGCUAAUACCGGAUAAUAUUUUGAACCGCAUGGUUCAAAAGUGAAAGACGGUCUUGCUGUCACUUAUAGAUGGAUCCGCGCUGCAUUAGCUAGUUGGUAAGGUAACGGCUUACCAAGGCAACGAUGCAUAGCCGACCUGAGAGGAUGAUCGGCCACACUGGAACUGAGACACGGUCCAGACUCCUACGGGAGGCAGCAGUGGGGAAUCUUGCGCAAUGGGCGAAAGCCUGACGGAGCAACGCCGCGUGAGUGAUGAAGGUCUUCGGAUCGUAAAACUCUUUUAUUAGGGAAGAACAUAUGUGUAAGUAACUGUGCACGUCUUGACGGUACCUAAUCAGAAAGCCACGGCUAACUACGUG